GCCAGGCGUGAUGGCUCAUGCCUGUAAUCCCAGCUACAUGGGAGGCUGAGGUGGAAGAAUUGCUUGAACCUGGGAGAUGGAGGUUGCAGUGAGCCAAGAUCACACUGCUGCACUCCAGCCUAGGUGACAGAGUGAGACUCCAUCUCAA
Molecule: unclassified non-coding RNA, 148 nt
Organism: Papio anubis (olive baboon)
Lineage: Eukaryota; Metazoa; Chordata; Mammalia; Primates; Cercopithecidae
Rfam family: Metazoan signal recognition particle RNA
About the family: The signal recognition particle (SRP) is a universally conserved ribonucleoprotein. It is involved in the co-translational targeting of proteins to membranes.
Source: Ensembl